This 253-nucleotide ribosomal RNA is filed under the name uncultured bacterium. Its description in RNAcentral is "partial 16S ribosomal RNA". It matches the Rfam family "Bacterial small subunit ribosomal RNA", at positions 524 to 776 of the family's 1533-position model. The record is from RNAcentral.
UACGUAGGGUGCAAGCGUUAAUCGGAAUUACUGGGCGUAAAGCGUGCGCAGGCGGCUAUGCAAGACAGAUGUGAAAUCCCCGGGCUCAACCUGGGAACUGCAUUUGUGACUGCAUGGCUAGAGUACGGCAGAGGGGGAUGGAAUUCCGCGUGUAGCAGUGAAAUGCGUAGAUAUGCGGAGGAACACCGAUGGCGAAGGCAAUCCCCUGGGCCUGUACUGACGCUCAUGCACGAAAGCGUGGGGAGCAAACAGU